This 81-nucleotide ribosomal RNA is filed under the name Senecio crassissimus. RNAcentral's name for it is "partial 5.8S ribosomal RNA". It matches the Rfam family "5.8S ribosomal RNA", at positions 1 to 76 of the family's 154-position model. From Rfam's summary of the family: 5.8S ribosomal RNA (5.8S rRNA) is a component of the large subunit of the eukaryotic ribosome. It is transcribed by RNA polymerase I as part of the 45S precursor that also contains 18S and 28S rRNA. Functionally, it is thought that 5.8S rRNA may be involved in ribosome translocation. The record is from RNAcentral. Lineage: Eukaryota; Viridiplantae; Streptophyta; Magnoliopsida; Asterales; Asteraceae.
CAAACGACUCUCGACAACGGAUAUCUCGGCUCACGCAUCGAUGAAGAACGUAGCAAAAUGCGAUACUUGGUGUGAAUUGCA